Molecule: ribosomal RNA, 236 nt
Filed under: uncultured bacterium
Lineage: Bacteria
Description: partial 16S ribosomal RNA
Rfam family: Bacterial small subunit ribosomal RNA
Source: RNAcentral
CGGGUGUGAGUAGAGUGGCGGACGGGUGAGUAAUACUUGGGAAUCUGCCUAGUAGUGGGGGAUAACUCGGGGAAACUCGAGCUAAUACCGCAUACGCCCUACGGGGGAAAGAUUUAUCGCUAUUAGAUGAGCCCAAGUCAGAUUAGCUAGUUGGUAGGGUAAUGGCCUACCAAGGCGACGAUCUGUAGCUGGUCUGAGAGGACGAACAGCCACACUGGGACUGAGACACGGCCCAG